Long non-coding RNA from Nomascus leucogenys (northern white-cheeked gibbon), 898 nucleotides. RefSeq lists it as uncharacterized. Lineage: Eukaryota; Metazoa; Chordata; Mammalia; Primates; Hylobatidae. The transcript is spliced from 5 exons. The record is from RefSeq and is a predicted model, not a curated record.
GAGCAAGAAAAGAAAGAAAUGCUAGGCGCGGUCACGUGUGCACGCUUGGGCUCGUUACUGCUCAGAAUUUUAGAAUCACAGAUCCAUCAGUGAUCAGGCAGCUGCAGCUGUCAGGGACCAUCACCACCUACGCGACUGAUCCAGGGGGAGUGUGGGAGAAGCCCUCCUACUCUUUUCUUUCUCCUUUGUCCUUCUCAUUCCUGACCCCUUCAGGAUUCUCAGUCUUCCCUCCAGGAGACUUCUCGCCAGUCUUGUCUCACUCCAAACUCCUACCCCCACCUCAUUCCUCAGUGCAUUCGUACAUUUCUCCAAGCAGGCCUUUCCAGAUCGACACUAAGUUCCAAUCCCGAGCUGUGUGACCCAGCACCAAUUCAGUCACGAUGAUGACUUGCAACUGCUUAAUCAGUUUGCCUUUCCUCCUAGCUGUGAGGUUUACCGUGCAGGAAUGCAAACACCAGAGAGAAAAUCAGUCUCUGGAUUGAUGCCUUUGAUGGACCAAGAUGCAGCUGAUGAAGCAUUGAACCAAUUAGCAUCCAGCAGGAGGGCACCCUUGCUCUGUGUCCUUGAAGGUUAAAGCUGUCAAAAAGUGGUCUCCCUCACGUUCGGCCGCCUUGCUCUCAGAGAUCUAGAACUGGACUCAGUCACAAUUUUGGGCCAAGGAGACCGACGCGCUGUCGCCUGCACUAAGAGAAACGCAACGAACAACUUUAUCAAUGCAUUGCAUUACUAUAUACUAUAGCAGCAACUAUACUUUUAAAUGAUUCGAAUCUUGGAGUUUCAAACUGAACCGUCCUGCCCGGCGGGCAUUUCUGCGAAGACCGCGGGUCACCUUCUGAAUUUUUACCUUCAUAAACAGCAACGACUGCGCUCUCUCGCACGGCGCCCCGUUUUUUCGUAG